This 443-nucleotide ribosomal RNA is filed under the name uncultured bacterium. RNAcentral's name for it is "partial 16S ribosomal RNA". It matches the Rfam family "Bacterial small subunit ribosomal RNA", at positions 338 to 795 of the family's 1533-position model. The record is from RNAcentral.
CCUACGGGGGGCAGCAGUGGGGAAUAUUGCACAAUGGGCGAAAGCCUGAUGCAGCAACGCCGCGUGAAGGAAGAAGGGUUUCGGCUCGUAAACCUCUAUUAACAGAGACGAAAGAAAUGACGGUACAUGAAUAAGAAGCCCCGGCUAACUACGUGCCAGCAGCCGCGGUAAGACGUAGGGGGCAAGCGUUAUACGGAAUUACUGCGUGUAAAGGGUGAGUAGGCGGCAUGUUAAGCCAGAUGUGAAAGCCUUGGGCUUAACCCGGGGAUUGCAUUUGAAACUCGCAGGCGUGAGUACAGGAGAGGAGAGUGGAAUUCCUAGUGUAGCGGUGAAAUGCGUAGAUAUUAGGAAGAACACCAGUGGCGAAGGCGGCUUUCUGGACUGAAACUGACGCUGAGGCACGAAAGCGUGGGGAGCGAACAGGAUUAGAUACCCCAGUAGUC